This 615-nucleotide long non-coding RNA is filed under the name Vulpes vulpes (red fox). Its description in RNAcentral is "lncRNA (ENSVVUG00000008825.1)". The record is from RNAcentral. Lineage: Eukaryota; Metazoa; Chordata; Mammalia; Carnivora; Canidae.
AAGAAUUUCUGUAGGCUACUAACUGACUUGCCAACCCAUCUACAUUAAUUAAUCAUAAUGAUAACAGGAGAUAAGACAAAGGAAAAUCAACACCCGAAUUUCUAAAUCUGAAGAAGUGAUAAAGAAGAUGACAGAUGAUAAUGAGAGGGGGAAGAGAGCCAAAGCACCACGUUCAAAAAUCAACCCUAGAUGAUGAUUUUCCCAACUCUAUUCCUAACCUAAAACUGCAGCAUCACAAGUGACAAGAGACAAGACAAAGAAUCCGGGCUGACAAUGUAAAUGUAUUUGCAAAGCUCCAUCAAAGUUCGUCAACUUUCCUUACGGAGCAGAUAUAUUUAUACUCCAAUUUUGAAGGGACCACAAUGCUGCUUGGUUCUAAGUAUAAAGCCAUCUCUGUUAAACACACAAACAAACAAACCCACUCUGAAAUCACAAGGAAGGGACUGCUUAGCAAGUGGAGAAGAUGAUUGCAGUAGUAAGAGACUGGGGGAAUCCAGAACUUCCACCCACUAAAGAGUAUUUGAAUGUUUAUCAUAUCAUCAGUGUCGCCUAGGCGGUUGCCUACAGUUAUCUAGAGACCUACAUCACAUUUUAUUUUAAUAAAGUAAAUCAAAG